ACACUUACCUGGUAGGUGAGAUACCAUGAUUGUGAAGGUGGUUUUUCCAGAACAAGGCUUAUCUAUUCCACUUCAGAUGUGUUGACCCCUGCAAUUUCCCCAAAUGUAGGACACUGACUGCAUAACUUGUGGUAGUGGGGGACUGCGUUCAUGUUUUCCCCUG
This 163-nucleotide small nuclear RNA is filed under the name Propithecus coquereli (Coquerel's sifaka). Its description in RNAcentral is "U1 spliceosomal RNA (ENSPCOG00000006856.1)". It matches the Rfam family "U1 spliceosomal RNA". Rfam says of the family: U1 is a small nuclear RNA (snRNA) component of the spliceosome (involved in pre-mRNA splicing). Its 5' end forms complementary base pairs with the 5' splice junction, thus defining the 5' donor site of an intron. Lineage: Eukaryota; Metazoa; Chordata; Mammalia; Primates; Indriidae. The record is from Rfam by way of RNAcentral.